UACGGAGGGUGCGAGCGUUGUCCGGAAUCACUGGGCGUAAAGGGCGCGUAGGCGGCAUGCCAAGCGUGUGGUGAAAGCCCGGGGCUCAACCCCGGGUCGGCCGUGCGGACUGGCGUGCUCGAGCACUGUAGGGGCGGGUGGAAUUCCGGGUGUAGUGGUGAAAUGCGUAGAGAUCCGGAGGAACACCAGUGGCGAAGGCGGCUCGCUGGGCUCUACCUGACGCUGAGGCGCGAAAGCGUGGGGAGCGAACCGG
RNAcentral lists this ribosomal RNA (253 nucleotides) under uncultured bacterium. RNAcentral's name for it is "partial 16S ribosomal RNA". It matches the Rfam family "Bacterial small subunit ribosomal RNA", at positions 524 to 776 of the family's 1533-position model. The record is from RNAcentral.